Long non-coding RNA from Ficedula albicollis (Collared flycatcher), 1808 nucleotides. The record is from Ensembl. Lineage: Eukaryota; Metazoa; Chordata; Aves; Passeriformes; Muscicapidae.
AAAUUCAUCCUUCCUAUAACAUUUAUGACUAAAAUUAUAUCAGUGACCCUAGCAACCGUUCUUCCUUUCAUCAUCCCCCUCUCCAGCACCUCUGCUUCCCAUCAGUGCUGUCACCAGCAGUGUCGCCGUGAGAGACUCUGACAGAGUCACAGGAGCACAGAAACCACCACGCCCAGGGCUAGAGGUGCCUUGGUCUGAGCACGUGUUGGUGCCAACACUUGUGAGGGUUUCAGCCUGUCUGGAGCACCGAGUGUUACAUCAGCCUGGUAAUGGUAACCUAAGCUACCAGCAGCAGGGAGGCGUUUGUGCUGUGCUUUGCUGCGAGCAGCGCUCAGAGCCUGUGACACUGUCUGACACUGACUGAUUAAGAUACAGGUGCUGUGGUGCUGUCAGGAAAGAAGAAAGAGGACUUGCCGUGCUGUUGUUGCUCAUGGAUCUCCAGCAGGGCAGCAGCCAGACACCGGUGCACAGCAGCACCGUGCUCUUCCACCUCUUCGGAGAAUUACUUUCCAGUCAACCUGAGGAGAUGAAGAACACACCUCGUUUUUAACACAGCCUGUCCCUCCACACAGACUCCAAAGUCUGUGUAUCACAGCACUGAGAAGCCCCAGGUGGCACUGAAAUCCCAGUGGGAAUGUAGUACAAGUCAAUGAAGUGGCAAUAAAUUGUCUCACCUUGAUCAGCUCUGUGGAUACAGGAGAGGAAUAGAGGAAGCCUUCCCUCUGUUCUUGCAGAAGACUCAAAGAAUCCCUGAAGAACUACUUUAGGAUGGCUUUUUCACCAUCAGCUGACAGGGACCUGCAGGAAGCCAAUCUUGAGCAAAAGGACUUCCACAACAAUCACUGUGCAUCUAAACCCAGAACAUUAUUCCUACAAUGAGGAUCCUGCAUUGAUUCCAAAGAAGACCCAGGCCCCUAUUGUGCUAGGCACUAUAGCAACAGACAGUAAAAGGCAGUCCUUGUUCCUAAAGACCUUUCUAUCUAAACAGACAAGACACUGCCAGAGAUUUAUCUUUUAUUCUUCCAUUUAUAACAGUUGCAAAACAACUUGGAUGAAGAAUAAAAAUUGCAAUGAAUAGGACGUGAUGAUCCCAGCUGUGGGAUGAAUCCAUAUGGAGGUGGGAAACCUCAAUCCAGUGAAAGCAUGGAGGGGUAUAAUCCUGAACCAGCUGAAGCAAUGUGAGAACUCUACAGACUCUACUGGGAGCCAGGAUUUCCCCUCUCUGUCCAUGUUCACCAGGUGUGUGUGUGCAUAACACAAUGCAGAGCUGUAGAGGUAUUUCCAAGCUCCCUGGCACCAGAAGCAGCGCCACUGCUCCCAUCGGGGGCUGAGCCCGGUGCUGUCACUGCUGCCACUGAGCUCAGUGCCUGGAUUGCUGUGGUGUGUGUGAGCACAGCCCCAGCCCUGCUGCACUGGGCUUCCUGCAGAGCUGCCUGCAACAGUGCACCGCAGAGGGCUCACAGGGGUCACUGCUCUGGCACCAAACCACUGACCUGCCAGUGACAGUAAGCUGAAUGAUUAAUUAUGGUCUACAGCACUCCAUGGUCUACAGUGCAGGGGCUAUUUAGGUGACAGUGGACUCCCUGAACAUACUGUGUUUCUUGCUGCAAGUCUUUUCUCUAAGGGAUACAGACUAAAAAUAUUCCUGAGGUACAGCUCAUAAACAGAACUGUCCCCUGCUCUGAUCUUGCUGAUGCUCUAUGUUGUUAUUUACUUAAAUUGCAUAGCUCCCUAGCACUAACAGGAGACUCUGGUAACUUAUUUCUUGUAUUUUGGAAGCAAUGCAAUGCACAAUAAAGCAGAGAUAA